AAUUGUGCUGGAGGAUCUAGCAAUGUCUGUAGAGAUGUUCUUUCAAGGCAUUUCCUUGGUCUUCCAGCAUGACU
Molecule: microRNA precursor, 74 nt
Organism: Anolis carolinensis (green anole)
Lineage: Eukaryota; Metazoa; Chordata; Lepidosauria; Squamata; Anolidae
Source: Ensembl